This 486-nucleotide ribosomal RNA is filed under the name uncultured bacterium. RNAcentral's name for it is "partial 16S ribosomal RNA". It matches the Rfam family "Bacterial small subunit ribosomal RNA", at positions 30 to 507 of the family's 1533-position model. The record is from RNAcentral.
AUUGAACGCUGGCGGCAUGCCUUACACAUGCAAGUCGAACGGCAGCACGGGUGCUUGCACCUGGUGGCGAGUGGCGAACGGGUGAGUAAUACAUCGGAACAUGUCCUGUAGUGGGGGAUAGCCCGGCGAAAGCCGGAUUAAUACCGCAUACGAUCCACGGAUGAAAGCGGGGGACCUUCGGGCCUCGCGCUAUAGGGUUGGCCGAUGGCUGAUUAGCUAGUUGGUGGGGUACAGGCCUACCAAGGCGACGAUCAGUAGCUGGUCUGAGAGGACGACCAGCCACACGGGGACUGAGACACGGCCCAGACUCCUACGGGAGGCAGCAGUGGGGAAUUUUGGACAAUGGGCGAAAGCCUGAUCCAGCAAUGCCGCGUGUGUGAAGAAGGCCUUCGGGUUGUAAAGCACUUUUGUCCGGAAAGAAAUCCUUGACUCUAAUACAGUCGGGGGAUGACGGUACCGGAAGAAUAAGCACCGGCUAACUACGUG